UCCGGUGAUGAUAGCGAAAGGGAACCACCUGUACCCAUACCGAACACAGAAGUUAAGCCUUUCAGCGCCGAAAGUACUUGGCCGGGAACGGCCCGGGAGGAUAGGACAUUGCCGGGU
This 117-nucleotide ribosomal RNA is filed under the name Clostridiales bacterium. Lineage: Bacteria; Bacillati; Bacillota; Clostridia; Eubacteriales. The record is from RNAcentral.